This is a long non-coding RNA of Xiphophorus couchianus (Monterrey platyfish), 1641 nucleotides long. RefSeq lists it as uncharacterized. The record is from RefSeq and is a predicted model, not a curated record. The transcript is spliced from 2 exons. NCBI's taxonomy places the organism in Eukaryota, Metazoa, Chordata, Actinopteri, Cyprinodontiformes, Poeciliidae.
UCAAUAUUUCCAGUCUAUGUUUGUUAUGAAGGAGAAAUAGAUUAAUACUUUUAAAUUACUUGUGUAUUGAAGUCAGACCAUUGUUACAACAUCCGUGUAUAUUGCAUAUCUUAGUAAGACACAGUCGGAGAUUCAUAAAACCUUUAUUUUAUUCAGUGAAAUUCAGUAUUUACUAGUUCAUGCAUGAAAAACAAAAUAUAUGGAUUAGUGAAAUCGGACUGGAAGAUUCUACACUGAUUGCACAUUUUUAAAAAAUAAAAUAAGGUUGUUGUUUUGUGAAACAUUUACUCUGUGAAAAAACAAGGUUUUACAGUUGUGCCAAAAAUAUUGGAAACAUUCUAUCUUGUCCUCAUUCCAGUAAACAAAUGAUCAUGCAUUUGGUUAACUAGAUCCCCACAAUUGUUGACACGGCGACACUUCUGCCGCUUCUGCUAAAGUUAAUAGUUUUCGGUCCGAAAACAAGAAACAUUUCUGAUAAGGCCAACCUGUGCAUCCGUUUUUCUGUGGGCAGCAAGCAGAAGGAAGAUGAUAAAUGAUAGGAAAAAAGAACUAAGAAAUCAUUUGUUUAGCAGAGUGGUACAUCAAACUGAAACUUAAAGCUACAGUGAUUGCUGUGUGGGGGGGGGGAAAAGAGGAUAUUGAUAAAAGUUGAUUCAGAAUAGCUCAACCAGUCAAUGCUGCUUCGUCCACAUUUUGUGAACCCUACCUAAAUCCCACUGCGUUUGUUCUGUGGCCAUCUACACUGCCUCAACACACAGAGACGCAGCUAAUACGCUCAACAAGCCAUCUGGUCACACCGUCUGCAAGUGUCCAUCCCUCCACCAUGUUACCACUGCAGGAGCUGCAUUAUAUAACCAUCUCUACAUGAGCCAGCGGGCACGAAACGAAAAGGAGCGAUGGGUUUAUGAACCGAGGGGCAUGGAUUCAUAUUCACAUGUCAGCGGGGACAAAGACCGUCUUACAUUUUCAGAAUGUGCCAUCUGAUUCUGAAGGAUUACAGUCGCCGUGGUGGACUGGCUUCCAUCAUAGCGCACUCCCUCCGAUUUAUCCUUAUCCCAGCAACACAUGACCAGGGCUGAGAGGGAAGGAUGCUCAGACUCUAAUGAAAUUCCUCUGCGCUUCUCCUCUAAUUCCUCUUCAACCCACCCCUAGUUUCAAUUUCAUCUUCCAGCCGUUGUUUAGUUCUGACAUCUGCCUACUUGUAGACGCAGCGCUCUUGGCUGUGAACCCAUCGCUUGAAGAUUUACACGAGAAACAUUUGCUCUUUUACUCUUCAACAAAACUUUUGUCGGACUAAUCUUCUGCAGCUGAACAAGCUAAGCCCGUGUGACGUAAAGUUUGUCAUCUGUGUCUGCAUGCGGGGGUCUCGGCAGAUUUUUGAGAUCACGUUGGCGCAACAACAAAGUCGAUGUUUAGGAGCGGCCAUCACACACGCAACAGCAGUUCAGUCAGGAGGAAUGGGACGUUUUUACAGCAAACCGUUGUGAGGAGUUUCUGGAAGGUCGGUUUAGUUUAAAAGAUAAUUUCACCAAAUACUAGGUAGGCAGAUGUGAGUAAACCUCUGAAUCUAAAGAAAGUUUCAAAGAAUAAAACAGUUGUGAUAUUAAACAAAUUUGGCCUGUUGUAAUAAAUCAUUUAAAA